Mauremys reevesii (Reeves's turtle) is the source of this 1624-nucleotide long non-coding RNA. RefSeq lists it as uncharacterized. NCBI's taxonomy places the organism in Eukaryota, Metazoa, Chordata, Testudines, Geoemydidae. The transcript has 2 exons. The record is from RefSeq and is a predicted model, not a curated record.
CCCAUUCCUAUGGCUGAACUGCCCCUUUCUCUUACAUGGAUUCCUGACUCUGCACAUGUGAAAUGUUUGGGAUCAGAUCCACAUCGGGAUGACUGAAACUUGCUGAAAGGUUAGGUCAAGUGAUUCUUUUGCUACAAUUGUUCUUCUUGGGCCCCAUCCUGUUCCUACUGAAAUCACACAAAACAAAACUUGCUAAACGUAACAGGGCCAGAUCCUCAACAGGGCCAAAUCCAUGUAGCCCUGUUGCCUUCAGUGGAGCUACACUGAUUCAUACCAGUUGGGAAUCUGGCCCAAGAGUUUGCACUUUCGUCUCAGGGAAAGGCUUAGGAGCAUUUUAAGAGUGAUACUAUGCUGUGUCUUUUCUGGUGCACCACACAGCUCAGCUGGACUAUCAAAACACAAAUUCAGUCAAGACAUUCCAAGAAGUUCAGUUUCAGUCAAGUUUCCAAGAAGGGGGGAAGUUGUACUUGCUGGUCUAACUUAUUUUAGCUGUUUCCCAGUUCACCAUUUGGCUAUACUGAAUGGAAGUAGACCACAUCUGACUGACUGUAACUUUCCCUUAGUCGUACAAACCUGGUAGAUUGCAUCAGCAUUUCUAAAAUCUAAACAAAUAAGCAGAGACAGAGAAAAGGACAACCAGAUAUAUUUACAGUAUGAAAACAGAAUGAUCUGACCCGCUUAGAGCUCUCUCCUCUUCAGAGCCCACCAUGCAGAGUAUUUUCACAUGCUAAUAUGCAGUGAGAUGAAGAAAGCCAAGCAAUUGAAAGGAACGUGCGGUGAGACUGUCUCCUGUGUCUUGCUACCCAGCAGUUUGCAGUGUCUUCAAGAAAAACAUCUAUGGUGCAUACCUGGUGAAAACAAUGUGCUAACGUCAUGGACCUAGUCACAGCUUCUUUUAAGAUCUGAUUCAAGGACUCCUAUUGGAUUCAAUGAACUUCAGAUCAUGCGCCUGAUGGUUCUGUGCUGAUGGGACGCCUGCUACUCGCCAAGCUUCAAAGUAAUUUUUUAAAUGGUAAUUUCAGAAAUUGAGCUCUUCCCACUCCAAAAGGUUCUUGCACAGGUGUAAACUGAGAGCAGAAAAUGGCCUAUUAUAACAGUAUUUUUCCUCUAGAGUCCUUGUAUACAAUGAACACCAACAGAAACAAAUAAAUGUUUAGCUUAUGAGCAGGAGUGAAUUUUGGUAUUUCACUCCCACUCAACAAUGGGUUAUUUAUAGUAACUAAUCAUAUACACACACCUUGCAAUAUGCUUUUUUAAUGUUAUCUCCAUUGAAAAUGUUUAAUAUUUUGCAAAACCUAGAGUUCCAGAAUCCAGUAUUUGAUUAUAUUUGAAGAUUCUUAAUUGAUAGAAAAUGUGUUACUAUUUUUGUAACACUUUGAUAUCUAAUUAUGAAAGAUAAAUCGAAUUGUUGACAGGACCAGAUACUUUCUUACAUAUACAGCAAACGUGAAGGUGGCAGACAGAUCAGGUAAGAGGAUAAAGUAAAGUCAAGGCAGUACAAGUCAUUGGUUAGAGUUCACUGCUCUAACAGCAAUGAUCUAUUUUUAACAUAUUCCCUCCACUUGUGCCCACCCCCGCCAAAAACGGCAUUUUAAAAAUGGAAUAAAAUCAGAAUUGUUACGGC